Molecule: ribosomal RNA, 498 nt
Filed under: uncultured bacterium
Lineage: Bacteria
Description: partial 16S ribosomal RNA
Rfam family: Bacterial small subunit ribosomal RNA
Source: RNAcentral
GAUGAACGCUAGCUACAGGCUUAACACAUGCAAGUCGAGGGGUAGCAGGGUAGCAAUACCGCUGACGACCGGCGCACGGGUGAGUAACACGUAUCCAACCUUCCCAUAACUCAGGGAUAGCCUUUCGAAAGAAAGAUUAAUACCUGAUAGUACUUAAGAAAGGCAUCUUUUUUAAGUUAAAGAUUUAUUGAUUAUGGAUGGGGAUGCGUUCCAUUAGAUAGUUGGUGAGGUAACGGCUCACCAAGUCUUCGAUGGAUAGGGGUUCUGAGAGGAAGGUCCCCCACAUUGGUACUGAGACACGGACCAAACUCCUACGGGAGGCAGCAGUGAGGAAUAUUGGUCAAUGGGCGAGAGCCUGAACCAGCCAAGUAGCGUGAAGGAUGAAGGUCCUAUGGAUUGUAAACUUCUUUUAUAGUAGAAUAAAGUGAGCCACGUGUGGUUUUUUGUAUGUAUACUAUGAAUAAGGAUCGGUUAACUCCGUGCCAGCAGCCGCAGUAA